RNAcentral lists this long non-coding RNA (713 nucleotides) under Marmota monax (woodchuck). Lineage: Eukaryota; Metazoa; Chordata; Mammalia; Rodentia; Sciuridae. The record is from RNAcentral.
CGGGGACCCUGAGUCUCACUUUACAAACGAGGACAGGGAGACUCAGGGAGGUUCUCCAACACAUCGGGGACACACAGUGUCUGGGAGGCAGAGGUAUUCAAACCCUGGCGUCCAGACUCCCAGCUGGGAACUAGGUGUGCUACAGUCCGUGGCUUUGGUUUCUGGUGGCUCCUGUUUGGGGAGGCCUGGCCGAGGGGAAAAAUGCAGCAGGGCCAGAGACACCCUGAGUUCUCCAGUUCUGACCCCAGCCGGGGAGCACCUCGUUCGGGGAAGGUGUUCAUUGCCUCCCUCCCGAGAACUUCGAGCACCCAGGGAGGGGCGGAAGGGCUCGGCUUCGCGGCCCGCGUGACCACUAGGGGGCGGUGGCGCGCUGCGCCGAUCUGCCGGCAGCCGCCCUGGGUCUGCAGAGGGGGCCGGGGCUCGCUGCCCCGGAGCUUCGCGGGCUCCCAGCGGCCGGGACCCCUGCUUCUCCUCCACGGAGCGGUCAUCAGCCUUCAGGGUACUGCUCUGUCCUGGGUUUCCCGGGCUGGGGCUGAACUCGAUGUUGGAGGAGCCGCCCCUUCUUCCCCAAUUGGGUUCGGCCCCAACUCAAAACCCCUGCGGCCCCCCACUGCAGCCCCCAAAAUCCACACGGAGCAGAGCCGCUGAUCCCGGGCACCGCGGGCGCCCUGGGCAGUUGCUGCUCCGUCCUUUUUUCUCUCUUCCUCAGGACC